GGCAGUGCAAGUGGAGAAUCUGACAAGAUCUGAGGGUAAACUGUAGGGUAAACCUACUAGGGCAGAGUCUAGUGUUUGGCCUAGGAGACAGCAGCACUUGUUCACAUGGUGGAGCUCUAUGUUCCUUGAGACCCCUCAGAUACACAGAGCACCAGUUGACCACUUUUCAAAGAUUUGAGUUGAAACCCAUGGCACAUUAAAUCCAGGCAUACAGAACCACUUCCUGAAGGUGAAAGUCUUCAAGAACAUAAUGGCCAACUUGACAAGAUGGUGCAGACAAGAUAAGCCUCAGACUAGAUAAGCUGAGAAACAACCUCAGGCAUGACUGGACUAGAACCACAUGAACUCAGAAGUCUUCCACUACUAGCUUUCCCAUGUUAACUGCCUGUUACCCAGUGUCUUAGUGCUUUUGUCACUCAAGGUGACCAAAGUCACCACAGGCCAAUGGCUUCCUGUGUCUCUCUGCCCAAGUUCUUCUGCCACAGACCCUGUUUGCCAGGAGUUCUGGGAGUGAGUCCCCCAGGAAGAACCCUCAGCCGCUGAGUAUGGAUAUCCUGAGAUGUAUAUACAAUACUAAUGACCCAUCUCUCCAUGCAAGUCACCCGAACAAGAAGUUCAACAGUACCAUACAAUCAUCUCCAGUGCAACACUCCAAUAAGAACAAUGGACCAACCCCAUCUUUUGUGAUAAUGCUGUACAAAAGAACCUCCUACAGCAAUCAGAACAGACAUUUCCAUGGAGAUUAGUGUCUUUAGUUCAGCUUACAAGCACUCCCUGCCAUGAAGGUUCGUCAAAACCAUAGUUCUGCCAGUUCUUCAUUCCUUGGUAUUAGUGAUACUACAAGACAAGUUCUGGGUUAGGGAAAAGAAGAAGCCUUCAUUAUCUCCCCACUUAUAUUUAGAAUCUAAAGAGGCCAAGCGCAGUAAAAACAGAACAGUGAUUACCAAGGGCCAUCAGGUAAAGGAUAUGGGGGAAUGUUGGCUAAGGAGUACUAAGUUGCAGUUCUGUAAGAUGAGAAAUUCUAAAGAUUGUACAUCAUGGCAACUACAUUUUAAUACUGUAUUGAUUACUAGAAAUUUGCUAA
Zalophus californianus (California sea lion) is the source of this 1084-nucleotide long non-coding RNA. RefSeq lists it as uncharacterized. NCBI's taxonomy places the organism in Eukaryota, Metazoa, Chordata, Mammalia, Carnivora, Otariidae. The transcript has 5 exons. The record is from RefSeq and is a predicted model, not a curated record.